Molecule: long non-coding RNA, 453 nt
Filed under: Setaria italica (foxtail millet)
Lineage: Eukaryota; Viridiplantae; Streptophyta; Magnoliopsida; Poales; Poaceae
Description: long non-coding RNA (SITA_LNC006437)
Source: RNAcentral
UCAAAGAUGAAGGCCAGCAGGCUCAGAAAGAGCCCAGGCCGAUCGGCCUGGUGAAGCCCAAGCUGAUCGGCCAGGGGUUUUCUGGCCCUCUCCGACACUUAUUUUUGGCAAGCACUCCUCUAAAAUUACUUAAGGGCUAAGAUUGUGAAGAUAUGGCAAGUAUUACUUCGGGAUCAAAGAGGAAUCGAAGAAGAUCAAGCGAAAAUUUGGAAAGUUAUCAAACAUCAAUCUCAUCUCGAAGUUAUCGACGUGACAGGCCUACAUGCAUACAAAAAUAAGCUUCCAGAACAUCAGAGAAGACUUGGCGAUGAAGUUGGACGCGAGGGGUUAAAAGGAAGGGCCAAGCUGAUCAGCCUGGACCCCCUAGACUGAUCGGCCUGGGACUUUCCUUCGCCCCCUCGUCUUCCAAUUUUUGCCACGUGCUCUCCAGAUUAUAAAUACCGCAAAAAAAUC